GCCGGGAUGAUGGAAUUGGUAGACGUAGCGGACUUAAAAUCCGCUUCUCCGCAAGGAGAGUGCCGGUUCAAGUCCGGCUCCCGGCA
Molecule: transfer RNA, 86 nt
Filed under: Caldifarciminota bacterium
Lineage: Bacteria; Pseudomonadati; Caldifarciminota
Description: candidate division WOR-3 bacterium (hot springs metagenome) tRNA-Leu
Rfam family: tRNA
About the family: Transfer RNA (tRNA) molecules are approximately 80 nucleotides in length.
Source: RNAcentral